AGGCCUAACACAUGCAAGUCGAGCGGAUGAGGAGAGCUUGCUCUCUGAUUCAGCGGCGGACGGGUGAGUAAUGCCUAGGAAUCUGCCUGGUAGUGGGGGACAACGUUUCGAAAGGAACGCUAAUACCGCAUACGUCCUACGGGAGAAAGUGGGGGAUCUACGGACCUCACGCUAUCAGAUGAGCCUAGUUCGGAUUAGCUAGUUGGUGGGGUAACGGCUCACCAAGGCCGACGAUCCGUAACUGGUCUGAGAGGAUGAUCAGUCACACUGGAACUGAGACACGGUCCAGACUCCUACGGGAGGCAGCAGUGGGGAAUAUUGGACAAUGGGCGAAAGCCUGAUCCAGCCAUGCCGCGUGUGUGAAGAAGGCCCUCGGGUCGUAAAGCACUUUAAGCUGGGAGGAAGGGUUGUAACCUAAUACGUUGCAGCUUUGACGUUACCAGCAGAAUAAGCACCGGCUAACUCUGUGGCAGCAGCCGCGGUAAUACAGAGGGUGCAAGCGUUAAUCGGAAUUACUGGGCGUAAAGCGCGCGUAGGUGGCUUGGUAAGUUGAAUGUGAAAUCCCCGGGCUCAACCUGGGAACUGCAUCCAAAACUGCCUGGCUAGAGUACGGUAGAGGGUGGUGGAAUUUCCUGUGUAGCGGUGAAAUGCGUAGAUAUAGGAAGGAACACCAGUGGCGAAGGCGACCACCUGGACUGAUACUGACACUGAGGUGCGAA
This 719-nucleotide ribosomal RNA is filed under the name uncultured Pseudomonadales bacterium. Its description in RNAcentral is "bacterial SSU rRNA". It matches the Rfam family "Bacterial small subunit ribosomal RNA", at positions 44 to 757 of the family's 1533-position model. Lineage: Bacteria; Pseudomonadati; Pseudomonadota; Gammaproteobacteria; Pseudomonadales. The record is from RNAcentral.